AACCUCUCCUAUUUACAAGGGUUUUGG
RNAcentral lists this non-coding RNA (27 nucleotides) under Cricetulus griseus (Chinese hamster). Lineage: Eukaryota; Metazoa; Chordata; Mammalia; Rodentia; Cricetidae. The record is from RNAcentral.